AUGCAAGUCGAGCGGAUCGAUGGGAGCUUGCUCCCUGAGAUCAGCGGCGGACGGGUGAGUAACACGUGGGUAACCUGCCUGUAAGACUGGGAUAACUCCGGGAAACCGGGGCUAAUACCGGAUAACACCUACCCCCGCAUGGGGGAAGGUUGAAAGGUGGCUUCGGCUAUCACUUACAGAUGGACCCGCGGCGCAUUAGCUAGUUGGUGAGGUAAUGGCUCACCAAGGCGACGAUGCGUAGCCGACCUGAGAGGGUGAUCGGCCACACUGGGACUGAGACACGGCCCAGACUCCUACGGGAGGCAGCAGUAGGGAAUCUUCCGCAAUGGACGAAAGUCUGACGGAGCAACGCCGCGUGAGUGAAGAAGGUUUUCGGAUCGUAAAACUCUGUUGUUAGGGAAGAACAAGUGCCGUUCGAAUAGGGCGGCGCCUUGACGGUACCUAACCAGAAAGCCACGGCUAACUACGUGCCAGCAGCCGCGGUAAUACGUAGGUGGCAAGCGUUGUCCGGAAUUAUUGGGCGUAAAGCGCGCGCAGGUGGUUUCUUAAGUCUGAUGUGAAAGCCCACGGCUCAACCGUGGAGGGUCAUUGGAAACUGGGGAACUUGAGUGCAGAAGAGGAAAGUGGAAUUCCAAGUGUAGCGGUGAAAUGCGUAGAUAUUUGGAGGAACACCAGUGGCGAAGGCGACUUUCUGGUCUGUAACUGACACUGAGGCGCGAAAGC
This 723-nucleotide ribosomal RNA is filed under the name Rossellomorea marisflavi. RNAcentral describes it as "bacterial SSU rRNA". It matches the Rfam family "Bacterial small subunit ribosomal RNA", at positions 55 to 760 of the family's 1533-position model. Lineage: Bacteria; Bacillati; Bacillota; Bacilli; Caryophanales; Bacillaceae. The record is from RNAcentral.